UAUAGAAUGGGAGAGCUGAUUGAUUGGCAGUUUGACUGGGGCGGUCGUCUUUAAUAGAGUAGCAAAGUACAUCCAAAUAUAAAAUUAAUAAAAAAUAUUUACUAUUAAAUAAUAUUAAUGUGUAAAUAUUCUCACAAAUAUCAUAUUGCUGUAAAUUUUUUAUUUACUUUAACAUCAAUUAUUAUUUUUUGUUUUUAUAAGGUAUAGCUAGAAAUUGAAUGGAGAUCAAUUAACCAGUGAUAAGGUUAUGGAGGGCGCAAUGGCGGUAAGCAUGCUUAACUGAUAGACUUAAAAGUCGCACAGAUACGUAAGUAGGGCAUAGUGACCCCUCGCUAUAUAA
Molecule: ribosomal RNA, 340 nt
Filed under: Suillus luteus
Lineage: Eukaryota; Fungi; Basidiomycota; Agaricomycetes; Boletales; Suillaceae
Description: partial large subunit ribosomal RNA
Source: RNAcentral